RNAcentral lists this small nuclear RNA (20 nucleotides) under Arabidopsis thaliana (thale cress). Its description in RNAcentral is "snRNA_16701". Lineage: Eukaryota; Viridiplantae; Streptophyta; Magnoliopsida; Brassicales; Brassicaceae. The record is from RNAcentral.
CUCUUGAUACCAUUUAUGCA